AUGAGGAGGACAAAGAGCCUUCAGGAAAACUCUUGUUUCACUGAACCCUGCAGCCUGCAGAACUAGGGCAAGGGUAGGAGUUCCAGUAGGGGAAAGAGCAGGUAGACUCUGCAGCUGCCCCAGCUGGGACUCACACCUAAGCUGAUUCUCUUUCCUCUGCACUCCUAAGAAGCAAUUUUCUGUUCCUCUCCUCCCACCACCGUUUACUUUCUGCUGCCUCCCUUCUCCCACUUCCGUUCCAUUUUCUUUCUAGAAAACCCUGGUAUUUAGCUCAGACCAAAUUGCCUCAGCAGAAAGGUGGCCUUGGACAAAACUGGUCCAAGAAUUUGGAGUGGCAGUGCUUGUGGAUUGGCUCUGUCCAGCAAGGCCUCAGCUGCUUAUGCCUCUGCUUUCCCUCCCCUAAUACAGGGGUACCCUGGCUUAUUCAGGGGACUCCUUAGUCCACACCGUGUCACCUGCAUCCCUUAAUCUUUCAUUUUUGGGGUGUGGCCUUGGGAGAUCCUGGGCCGGCCCCUCCAUAGAUCUCCCUAAGUCAGAGUAGUUGCUGGCCCUGGUAGAUUUGACUUGCUCUUGCUCCCCUCGACCUCCAGAGUGGGACUGAAGACAGCGGCCAAGAGACUUGAGUUCAGGACAGUGAGCCAGAGGUUAAGGUUCUUUCCUUUUUUUUGAAAGCCAAAGACCCAGUUUGAAUUGUGCUGCUGCAUUCAUGGUUAGAAGCUUUCCAUGCCUAGGUUCUACGGAAUUUAUUUUCUAUGUGUGUAUAUUUUUAAACUUUGUUUCCUGGGUACUGGGCAUGUGCCUGUCUGAGCCCCAGGUCUGUCCAAACCCCACCAUUCAUUCUGUCCGUCCUCUGGACACUGCCUAAAAGAGUCUCAAGACAGUGCCCUAUGGGGUCCUAGGACUAGGGCCCAUCACUGUUCUCUUCUGCCGAAAAAUGCAGGUUUAAAACAGCUAAUGAGGGCAGAGGGCAGGUGCUUGAUAGAUUAUCUUUUCCUUGCUUUUUUGUUUCUGUUUUGAAAAUGAAAUGGGGUUUUAAAUGGUUAUUUAAAUUCUUUUUCCAAAUAAAGGUUUACCUUUUUUUCCCCC
This is a non-coding RNA of Callithrix jacchus (white-tufted-ear marmoset), 1086 nucleotides long. The record is from RefSeq and is a predicted model, not a curated record. Lineage: Eukaryota; Metazoa; Chordata; Mammalia; Primates; Cebidae.